CAGCUACUUUGACCACAACUUAAACAAAAAUUUAAGAGCGUAUGAAAUCUUCCUCUACUUCUCUGUUUUUAAAAUUGGAAAUCUGAACAGAAUUUUCUGAUACCGAUCAAACGUUACAGCUGUUAAAGUAACCGCAUCCACAUUCUCUAACUUUUUAUAAACAACUGGAUCGGUGCGCAAGCUCUGCUCCAUGAGUGAUGAGCAGGAUUUCCAACCACUCACAUUCUCUGGUCACCAGGUUUGGGAUGCUCUGGAUCGAUGUGUACGACAGCGUGUCCCAGUUCCCGCCAAUAUCCAGCAACUUUGAAACAGAGUGGGACAACAUUCCACAGGCCACAAUCAACAGCCUGAUCAACUCUAUGCGAAGGAGAUGUGUCGCGCUGCAUGAUCCAAAUGGUGGUCCCACCAGAUACUGACUGGUUUUCUGAUCCACGCCCCUCCUUUUUUUUUUAAAGAGUGACAGUUGCAGUUCCCACUGAACUGUGCCUGGCAGUGACACAGCGGCAACUACGAUACGGGACAGGUUUUUAAAAACAAUUACAAUACAGACAAACAAUGGGCAGUGAGCACAUGCAGAGCAGAAGGACAUGUAGCCCAUUGUUUACCUUAUUACCUGGCAAUGAUCACAAGGGUGUUUCAAAGAGCUGUCAGUCAAGGUGAGCUCAUGAAUAUAAGCUCCCCGCC
This 684-nucleotide long non-coding RNA is filed under the name Salmo salar (Atlantic salmon). RNAcentral's name for it is "lncRNA (ENSSSAG00000092523.1)". Lineage: Eukaryota; Metazoa; Chordata; Actinopteri; Salmoniformes; Salmonidae. The record is from RNAcentral.